UACAGAGGGGGCAAGCGUUAUUCGGAAUUAUUGGGCGUAAAGGGCGCGUAGGCGGCUUGGCAAGUGGGUGGUGAAAUCCCUCGGCUUAACCGAGGAACUGCCGUCCAAACUGCUUCGCUUGAGACCGGGAGAGGUGAGUGGAAUUCCCAGUGUAGCGGUGAAAUGCGUAGAUAUUGGGAGGAACACCAGUGGCGAAGGCGGCUCACUGGACCGGUACUGACGCUGAGGUGCGAAAGCGUGGGGAGCAAACAGG
Molecule: ribosomal RNA, 253 nt
Filed under: uncultured bacterium
Lineage: Bacteria
Description: partial 16S ribosomal RNA
Rfam family: Bacterial small subunit ribosomal RNA
Source: RNAcentral